This 345-nucleotide unclassified non-coding RNA is filed under the name soil metagenome. RNAcentral describes it as "partial contains 5.8S ribosomal RNA, internal transcribed spacer 2, and large subunit ribosomal RNA". The stretch from base 1 to 120 matches the Rfam family "5.8S ribosomal RNA", at positions 35 to 154 of the family's 154-position model. The record is from RNAcentral.
GAUGAAGAACUUAGAGAAAUGCGAUACGUAAUGUGAAUUGCAGAAUUCAGUGAAUCAUCGAGUCUUUGAACGCACAUUGCGCCCCCUGGUAUUCCGGGGGGCAUGCCUGUCCGAGCGUCAUUGCUGCCCUCAAGCACGGCUUGUGUGUUGGGCCUCCGUCCUCCUCCCGGGGGACGGGCCCGAAAGGCAGCGGCGGCACCGCGUCCGGUCCUCGAGCGUAUGGGGCUUCGUCACCCGCUCUUGUAGGCCCGGCCGGCGCUUGCCGACACAUCAAUCUUUUUUCCAGGUUGACCUCGGAUCAGGUAGGGAUACCCGCUGAACUUAAGCAUAUCAAUAAGCGGAGGA